UGGGGAAUUUUGCACAAUGGGGGAAACCCUGAUGCAGCGACGCCGCGUGAUUUAGAAGGCCUUCGGGUUGUAAAAAUCUUUUCUAUGGGAAGAAAAUGACAGUACCAUAGGAAUAAGGACCGGCUAAUUACGUGCCAGCAGCCGCGGUAAUACGUAAGGUCCGAGCGUUGUCCGGAAUCAUUGGGCGUAAAGGGUACGUAGGCGGGUAAGCAAGUUAGAAGUGAAAUCCUAUAGCUCAACUAUAGUAAGCUUUUAAAACUGCUCAUCUUGAGGUAUGGAAGGGAAAGUGGCAUUCCUAGUGUAGCGGUGAAAUGCGCAGAUAUUAGGAGGAAUACCGGUGGCGAAGGCGACUUUCUGGCCAUAACCUGACGCUGAGGUACGAAAGCGUGGGUAGCAAACAGG
RNAcentral lists this ribosomal RNA (402 nucleotides) under bacterium. Its description in RNAcentral is "partial 16S ribosomal RNA". It matches the Rfam family "Bacterial small subunit ribosomal RNA", at positions 355 to 776 of the family's 1533-position model. The record is from RNAcentral.